Molecule: ribosomal RNA, 384 nt
Filed under: uncultured bacterium
Lineage: Bacteria
Description: bacterial SSU rRNA
Rfam family: Bacterial small subunit ribosomal RNA
Source: RNAcentral
AACAUACCUCAUAGUACGGAAUAACUGCGGGAAACUGUAGCUAAUACCGUAUAUUCCAGAAAUGGGAAAGAUUUAUCGCUAUGAGAUUGGCCCGCGCAAGAUUAGCUUGUUGGUAAGGUAACGGCUUACCAAGGCUCCGAUCUUUAGCUGGUUUGAGAGGAUGAUCAGCCACACUGGGACUGAGACACGGCCCAGACUCCUACGGGAGGCAGCAGUAGGGAAUAUUGGACAAUGGGGGAAACCCUGAUCCAGCAAUGCAGCGUGAGUGACGAAGGCCUUAGGGUUGUAAAACUCUUUCAUCGGUGAGGAUAAUGACAGUAGCCGAAGAAGAAGGACCGGCUAAUUCCGUGCCAGCAGCCGCGGUAAUACGGAAGGUCCUAGCGU